RNAcentral lists this ribosomal RNA (466 nucleotides) under uncultured bacterium. RNAcentral's name for it is "partial 16S ribosomal RNA". It matches the Rfam family "Bacterial small subunit ribosomal RNA", at positions 28 to 507 of the family's 1533-position model. The record is from RNAcentral.
GACGAACGCUGGCGGCGUGCUUAACACAUGCAAGUCGAACGGAAAGGCCCUGCUUUCAGGGUACUCGAGUGGCGAACGGGUGAGUAACACGUGGGUGAUCUGCCCUGCACUUCGGGAUAAGCUUGGGCAACUGAGUCUAAUACCGGACAGGAACGCUCUUUAGUGUGUGUGGUGGAAAGUUUUUUCGGUGUAGGAUGAGCUCGCGGCCUAUCAGCUUGUUGGUGGGGUAAUGGCCUACCAAGGCGGCGACGGGUAGCCGGCCUGAGAGGGUGUACGGCCACAUUGGGACUGAGAGACAGCCCAGAGUCCUACGUGAGGCAGCAGUGGGGAAUAUUUCACAAUGGGCGCAAGCCUGAGGCAUCGACGCCGCGUGGGGGAUGAAGGCCUUCGGGUUGUAAACUCCUAUCGCUAGGGACGAAGCUUUGUUGUGACGGUACCUAGAUAAGAAGCACCGGCUAACUACGUG